Long non-coding RNA from Canis lupus familiaris (dog), 2802 nucleotides. RefSeq lists it as uncharacterized. The transcript has 6 exons. Lineage: Eukaryota; Metazoa; Chordata; Mammalia; Carnivora; Canidae. The record is from RefSeq and is a predicted model, not a curated record.
CGAGUGUUUUUCUUUCUUUUUUUUUUUUUCUUUACUUUUCUUUUUUUUUAUUUUUUUAUUUUUUAUUGGUGUUCAAUUUGCCAACAUAUAGAAUAACACCCAGUGCUCAUCCCAUCAAGGGCCCCCCUGGACUGGGUGUCGAGUGUUUUUCUAAGCAAGAAACUGCAGGCUCUGCCCUCAGCCCCGUGGCAGGCUCGCUGAAGGCAAUAAAAAGUAUCUCGGGAACCUGUCUGGGUAGCUGAGCUGCCUGGAACCAUGCCUGUGCUGGCUGGGGUAUGAAAUCGGUUCACACAGAUGAGGAAACUGAGAUCCAAAAGUGUUGUAUUCAACUGGGAAGUAGCAGAACCAGGAUUCACAGUGAGGCUGUCUGGUUUCGGAGCCCAGGCUCUACACACCCAAGCCAUCCUGCCAAAUGAGUUCUUCCCAUUAGCUCAUUUCAAGAUGCAAAUUCCAGUUUCUUCCCAUCAUCUCUCCUGGGAGAGGACUCCCUUUGGAUGGGUCAGGCAGGACGCGUGUAAGGGAGAAGACGCCCCUUGAGGAGGUCCUGCCGGAGGGACAUAGAGCAUCCCUGGGCUCUCCUUUUCAACUGGCUCGAGACCUGGAAGUGUCCUGCACACCUUUCUUCUUUCUUUGGCUGCUGCUGUUCAAAUACCUGAAGAGCCAGGAGAUGCCAGGCCAGGGGAGGGCAAAGCUAGUCUAAGGGCACCAAAGUGAAUCACAGAAGUGGGAAGAACGAGAGACCAUCUCUGGCGCCCUCCCACCUUGGACACAGCAGGCUCUAGCCCUGGAAGGCAGACUGGCAGGACUGUGCAGCCUCGGAGGGCAGGAACAAUCAGAGAACUCAUUGCUUUACCCCACUGAGCCCCAACACUGCUCCAGGAACAGCGAUGAGUGUUUGAUACGUGGCUACCGGAAUGAAGGGAUGAAAGCAUGAGUGAAUGGAUUUCAAGUGUGGAAAGGAACUUGGGGCCUUGAUGAUUUUCCUCACUCGGACCCUGAAUCUCUUUAAAACUUACAGUGAAAUAGUUAUCAAACUGGUGUCUAAAUCCCUAUAGAGCCAGGAAAGCUGUCACCUGUUCAUCAUACUACUGAACAUAUCACUUUGCACACUGCAGUCUCUGGUCCUAGUUGAUCAUUCCAGGGAAGCAUGAAGGACACAUUUCAUUUCUCCCAAGUCAUCCCCCUGCGGAGACUUGACAGGCUUUGCUUUGUUGUGACCCCUGACUGCCUUUUCUUCUCCAGGGCGGGUUUUUCUCAUCCUUUGUUCACUCAGGAAAUAUUCACCAAGUUCCUAGUGUCAGGCCCUGGGAUGCAUCCUAGGUCAACAAGAAUGGACAUGCACAGCACGGCCUCUGCUCUCAGAGAGGAGCUUCUAUUUUAGUAGCAAAGACAGACAAUGAGGAGGUAGACAGCUAGGUAGUGAGAUUUAAUGAGUCCUAUGAUCUCCAUUUUUCAGGUGGAAAAACUAAGACUUAGCCUACAUGCCCUGUCCUAGAUCAAACAUCUCUUUUUGAGGUAGAUGGGACUCACGUUUUUAUGCCCAUAAACCACAUUGGGAAUAUAGACCAAGUGGUAGGUUCUGUUCUAGGACCAUUUAUUUCUAUGUUGUCCACAAGUUCUUUAUCUCUCACUUUAACCAACAGCAAACCAAACCCUUCCUUUAAAGUUUAACCUAGUUAUCUGCGUUGCUAAAGGUUUCCCAGAACCUGUCCUAUCUAAAGCAUCUGUAUCACACAGCAUUUCAAGACUCUAAACCAUCUUAGAAAAGCACAGCGAGCUAAUCCAGGGCCCCCUAUUUCCUUUCUACCAGGGAUUACACCCUCUGUGGUCCUUCGGCCUUAUCUAAGUCACUGACAACUGAGAGUUGUUGUUGGCAUGAUUAUCUAUAAAACUUUCUCUUUUCAGUAUUUGGGAAGACCCACGGACCCCCACCUGUCUUUUUCUUUCUUCACACCUCCUUCCCUUUUAUUCCCUGCCGUGUCCUGAAGGCAUUUCAGUUUGGGAUCCAGUCUGACUCAGAAAUGUCUUUCCAGAUAUACCUUGUUCCUUUUUUUUUUUUUUUUUUGAUACACAUAACAUUUACUAUCUCAACCAUUUUAAAGUGGACAAUUCAGUGGCAUUUAAUCAUCCAUAAUGUUGUACAAUCAUCAUCACUAUGUGGUUCCAGAACAUUUUCGUCACUCCAAAAGGAGACCUUGUACCCAUUUGGCAGUCACUCCUCAGUUCCCCAACCACCAGCCUGCAGCGACUACCAAUCUGCUUUCUGCCUCUAUACGUAUAACUUGCCUGUUCUGGCUAUUUUAGAUAAAUGGAAUAAUACAACACCUGGCCUUUUACCACUGGCUUCUUCAUUUAGCCCUGUGUUUCCAAGGUUCAUCCACAGGGCUCCAUUCUUGUCUAUAGCUGAAUAAUCAUCUGUUGUAUGGCUACACUGCAUUUUGUCCCUUCAAAUGAAAACGGACAUUGGGUGGUUCCCAUCUUCUGGCUAUUGUGACUGGUGCUGCCAUGAACAUGCAUACUCAAGUCUGAACAUACAAUUUUAUUUUAUUUUUUAUUUUUUAAAGAUUAUACUUAUUUAUGCAUGAGAGACACAGAGACAGGCAGAGACACAGGCAGAGGGAGGAGAAGCAGGCUCCAUGCAGGAGCCCGAUGUGGGACUUGAUCCCAGAACUCUGGGCUCACGUCCUGUGCCGAAGGUCAACGCUCAACUGCUGAGCCACAUCCAAUUUUAAUUCUCUUGGGUAUGGGGCACCUGGGUGGCUCAGCUGGUUAAGCACCUGCCUUCAGUUUCAGGUCAUGAUC